UGUUAGAUGUCGCUGUAGAUUUAGCAGCACUGUACUGUAAAAAUCCACAGUACUAUACUGUAUGUGUACAUUACAGUAAAGUACUGCAGUUCAUAGUGCAUUCUGGGUAAAUUUGUUUGAGCGGGAAAAUUUUACAGUAUAUUUUGGUCUUGAUGUAACCUUGCUGUAGCCAUUGCUGUAAUGUGCCAGGUGUACUUGCAAUAAUCAGAGAAAGUGCGCCAGAGUCAAAUCACACAGACAGAGGGAGAGCACAACUCCUGGCUGCAGCUGAAGGAGGACGAUUGAUUUCUGUCAGUUCGCUCUAACGUUACAGUUUGCUCCACUUUGCUCUGUGGUUUAUAUGUUUUCUUCUUACCAUUGCUUGUAAGCUGGAUUGAGUAAGAUGGAUCAUCUUUAAAGGAACCAGGAGUUAAGGCAGAUGUGGAGGCACACGGGUGACACCAGACACACACCAAGCAUAUUGUUCGG
Long non-coding RNA from Paramisgurnus dabryanus, 468 nucleotides. RefSeq lists it as uncharacterized. The record is from RefSeq and is a predicted model, not a curated record. Lineage: Eukaryota; Metazoa; Chordata; Actinopteri; Cypriniformes; Cobitidae.